GGUCAGCGACUUAUAUUCUGUAGCAAGGUUAACCGUAUAGGGGAGCCGGAGGGAAACCGAGUCUUAACCGGGCGUUAAGUUGCAGGGUAUAGACCCGAAACCCGGUGAUCUAGCCAUGGGCAGGUUGAAGGUUGGGUAACACUAACUGGAGGACCGAACCGACUAAUGUUGAAAAAUUAGCGGAUGACCUGUGGCUGGGGGUGAAAGGCCAAUCAAACCGGGAGAUAGCUGGUUCUCCCCGAAAGCUAUUUAGGUAGCGCCUCGUGAAUUCAUCUCCGGGGGUAGAGCACUGUUUCGGCUAGGGGGCCAUCCCGGCUUACCAACCCGAUGCAAACUGCGAAUACCGGAGAAUGUUAUCACGGGAGACACACGGCGGGUGCUAACGUCCGUCGUGAAGAGGGAAACAACCCAGACCGCCAGCUAAGGUCCCAAAGUCAUGGUUAAGUGGGAAACGAUGUGGGAAGGCCCAGACAGCCAGGAUGUUGGCUUAGAAGCAGCCAUCAUUUAAAGAAAGCGUAAUAGCUCACUGGUCGAGUCGGCCUGCGCGGAAGAUGUAACGGGGCUAAACCAUGCACCGAAGCUGCGGCAGCGAACGUAUCACCCAAGACAACUUUACGGAGUUGACGAUUGACGGAGCGAAGCGACGUCAAAGCGUUCAUUAAAGUCGAGUUGGCUUAGGGAUACGUUCGUUGGGUAGGGGAGCGUUCUGUAAGCCUGUGAAGGUGUGUCGUGAGGCAUGCUGGAGGUAUCAGAAGUGCGAAUGCUGACAUAAGUAACGAUAAAGCGGGUGAAAAGCCCGCUCGCCGGAAGACCAAGGGUUCCUGUCCAACGUUAAUCGGGGCAGGGUGAGUCGACCCCUAAGGCGAGGCCGAAAGGCGUAGUCGAUGGGAAACGGGUUAAUAUUCCCGUACUUGGUGUUACUGCGAAGGGGGGACGGAGAAGGCUAUGUUGGCCGGGCGACGGUUGUCCCGGUUUAAGCGUGUAGGUGUGUGUUCCAGGUAAAUCCGGUUCACUUUAACACUGAGGCGUGACGACGAGGCACUACGGUGCUGA
This 1053-nucleotide ribosomal RNA is filed under the name Salmonella enterica. RNAcentral's name for it is "partial 23S ribosomal RNA". It matches the Rfam family "Bacterial large subunit ribosomal RNA", at positions 618 to 1588 of the family's 2925-position model. Lineage: Bacteria; Pseudomonadati; Pseudomonadota; Gammaproteobacteria; Enterobacterales; Enterobacteriaceae. The record is from RNAcentral.